AUUGAACGCUGGCGGCAGGCCUAACACAUGCAAGUCGAGCGGAUGAAGGGAGCUUGCUCCUGGAUUCAGCGGCGGACGGGUGAGUAAUGCCUAGGAAUCUGCCUGGUAGUGGGGGAUAACGUCCGGAAACGGGCGCUAAUACCGCAUACGUCCUGAGGGAGAAAGUGGGGGAUCUUCGGACCUCACGCUAUCAGAUGAGCCUAGGUCGGAUUAGCUAGUUGGUGGGGUAAAGGCAUACCAAGGCGACGAUCCGUAACUGGUCUGAGAGGAUGAUCAGUCACACUGGAACUGAGACACGGUCCAGACUCCUACGGGAGGCAGCAGUGGGGAAUAUUGGACAAUGGGCGAAAGCCUGAUCCAGCCAUGCCGCGUGUGUGAAGAAGGUCUUCGGAUUGUAAAGCACUUUAAGUUGGGAGGAAGAGCAGUAAGUUAAUACCUUGCUGUUUUGACGUUACCAACAGAAUAAGCACCGGCUAACAUCGUG
This 484-nucleotide ribosomal RNA is filed under the name uncultured bacterium. Its description in RNAcentral is "partial 16S ribosomal RNA". It matches the Rfam family "Bacterial small subunit ribosomal RNA", at positions 30 to 507 of the family's 1533-position model. The record is from RNAcentral.